This 128-nucleotide small RNA is filed under the name Pantoea allii. RNAcentral's name for it is "RtT sRNA". It matches the Rfam family "RtT RNA". From Rfam's summary of the family: This family represents a bacterial cis-regulatory element known as RtT RNA. The exact function of RtT is unknown although it is thought that it may be involved in changing the cellular response in relation to amino acid starvation. Lineage: Bacteria; Pseudomonadati; Pseudomonadota; Gammaproteobacteria; Enterobacterales; Erwiniaceae. The record is from RNAcentral.
CAUAGUUAUCUGGGGAGAAGGAUGAGAACCUUCGACUAAGGUUCGGGUCGAGCAGCGCGAGACAACGCGCGUCAGCGCGGCCCGCAGGGUGAGGCGCAGCGCGCCGAAUAAUCCUUCUCCCACCACCA